Molecule: ribosomal RNA, 483 nt
Filed under: uncultured Bacteroidota bacterium
Lineage: Bacteria; Pseudomonadati; Bacteroidota
Description: bacterial SSU rRNA
Rfam family: Bacterial small subunit ribosomal RNA
Source: RNAcentral
GAUGAACGCUAGCGGCAGGCUUAAUACAUGCAAGUCGAGGGGUAGAUAGAGAGCUUGCUCUUUAUUGAGACCGGCGAACGGGUGAGUAACACGUACGUAACCUACCUUCUACAGAGGGAUAGCCCUGGGAAACUAGGAUUAAUACCUCAUGGUCUUUGGGAAUGGCAUCAUUCCUUUAGUAAAGUUCCGGCGGUAGAAGAUGGACGUGCGGCCCAUUAGAUAGUUGGUGAGGUAACGGCUCACCAAGUCCACGAUGGGUAGCGGGCGUGAGAGCGCGAUCCGCCACACGGGCACUGAGACACGGGCCCGACUCCUACGGGAGGCAGCAGUAGGGAAUAUUGGACAAUGGAGGAAACUCUGAUCCAGCCAUGCCGCGUGAAGGAUGACGGUCCUACGGAUUGUAAACUUCUUUUAUCAGGGAAGAACCCUGGAGAUUCACUCUCCAGCUGACGGUACCUGACGAAUAAGCACCGGCUAACUCCG